UACAGAGGGGGCAAGCGUUAUUCGGAAUUAUUGGGCGUAAAGGGCGCGUAGGCGGCCUGGCAAGUGGAAGGUGAAAUCCCUCGGCUUAACCGAGGAACUGCCUCCCAAACUGCUUGGCUUGAGACCAGGAGAGGUGAGUGGAAUUCCCAGUGUAGCGGUGAAAUGCGUAGAUAUUGGGAGGAACACCAGUGGCGAAGGCGGCUCACUGGACUGGUACUGACGCUGAUUGUGCGAAAGCUAGGGGAGCGAACGGG
This 254-nucleotide ribosomal RNA is filed under the name uncultured bacterium. RNAcentral describes it as "partial 16S ribosomal RNA". It matches the Rfam family "Bacterial small subunit ribosomal RNA", at positions 524 to 776 of the family's 1533-position model. The record is from RNAcentral.